RNAcentral lists this ribosomal RNA (468 nucleotides) under uncultured bacterium. Its description in RNAcentral is "partial 16S ribosomal RNA". It matches the Rfam family "Bacterial small subunit ribosomal RNA", at positions 28 to 507 of the family's 1533-position model. The record is from RNAcentral.
GACGAACGCUGGCGGCGUGCUUAACACAUGCAAGUCGAACGGAAAGGCCCUGCUUUUGUGGGGUGCUCGAGUGGCGAACGGGUGAGUAACACGUGAGUAACCUGCCCUUGACUUUGGGAUAACUUCAGGAAACUGGGGCUAAUACCGGAUAGGAGCUCCUGCUGCAUGGUGGGGGUUGGAAAGUUUCGGCGGUUGGGGAUGGACUCGCGGCUUAUCAGCUUGUUGGUGGGGUAGUGGCUUACCAAGGCUUUGACGGGUAGCCGGCCUGAGAGGGUGACCGGCCAGAUUGGGACAGCGAUACGGCCCAGACUCCUACGGGAGGCAGCAGUGGGGAAUAUUGCACAAUGGGCGGAAGCCUGAUGCAGCAACGCCGCGUGCGGGAUGACGGCCUUCGGGUUGUAAACCGCUUUCGCCUGUGACGAAGCGUGAGUGACGGUAAUGGGUAAAGAAGCACCGGCUAACUACGUG